This 490-nucleotide ribosomal RNA is filed under the name Limosilactobacillus mucosae. RNAcentral describes it as "bacterial SSU rRNA". It matches the Rfam family "Bacterial small subunit ribosomal RNA", at positions 45 to 504 of the family's 1533-position model. Lineage: Bacteria; Bacillati; Bacillota; Bacilli; Lactobacillales; Lactobacillaceae. The record is from RNAcentral.
UGCAGUCGACGCGUUGGCCCAACUGAUUGAACGUGCUUGCACGGACUUGACGUUGGUUUACCAGCGAGUGGCGGACGGGUGAGUAACACGUAGGUAACCUGCCCCAAAGCGGGGGAUAACAUUUGGAAACAGAUGCUAAUACCGCAUAACAAUUUGAAUCGCAUGAUUCAAAUUUAAAAGAUGGCUUCGGCUAUCACUUUGGGAUGGACCUGCGGCGCAUUAGCUUGUUGGUAGGGUAACGGCCUACCAAGGCUGUGAUGCGUAGCCGAGUUGAGAGACUGAUCGGCCACAAUGGAACUGAGACACGGUCCAUACUCCUACGGGAGGCAGCAGUAGGGAAUCUUCCACAAUGGGCGCAAGCCUGAUGGAGCAACACCGCGUGAGUGAAGAAGGGUUUCGGCUCGUAAAGCUCUGUUGUUAGAGAAGAACGUGCGUGAGAGCAACUGUUCACGCAGUGACGGUAUCUAACCAGAAAGUCACGGCUAACUAC